RNAcentral lists this transfer RNA (76 nucleotides) under Mesorhizobium sp. Its description in RNAcentral is "tRNA-OTHER". It matches the Rfam family "tRNA". From Rfam's summary of the family: Transfer RNA (tRNA) molecules are approximately 80 nucleotides in length. Their secondary structure includes four short double-helical elements and three loops (D, anti-codon, and T loops). Further hydrogen bonds mediate the characteristic L-shaped molecular structure. tRNAs have two regions of fundamental functional importance: the anti-codon, which is responsible for specific mRNA codon recognition, and the 3' end, to which the tRNAs corresponding amino acid is attached (by aminoacyl-tRNA synthetases). tRNAs cope with the degeneracy of the genetic code in two manners: having more than one tRNA (with a specific anti-codon) for a particular amino acid; and 'wobble' base-pairing, i.e. permitting non-standard base-pairing at the 3rd anti-codon position. The record is from RNAcentral. Lineage: Bacteria; Pseudomonadati; Pseudomonadota; Alphaproteobacteria; Hyphomicrobiales; Phyllobacteriaceae.
GGAGCCGUAGCUCAGCGGGAGAGCGUCGUCCGCUACGCGGCGAAGGGCGAUGGUUCAAAUCCGUCCGGCUCCAUCA